UAGGAAAUGGUGUAGUGGAAGCACCAAGAGUUUUGAUCUCUUCAGGAAGGGUUCGAACCCCUUUUUUCUAAU
This 72-nucleotide transfer RNA is filed under the name Scarus schlegeli (yellowband parrotfish). Its description in RNAcentral is "tRNA-Gln". It matches the Rfam family "tRNA". From Rfam's summary of the family: Transfer RNA (tRNA) molecules are approximately 80 nucleotides in length. The record is from RNAcentral. Lineage: Eukaryota; Metazoa; Chordata; Actinopteri; Labriformes; Labridae.